GACGAACGCUGGCGGCGUGCCUAAUACAUGCAAGUAGAACGCUGAAGAGAGGAGCUUGCUCUUCUUGGAUGAGUUGCGAACGGGUGAGUAACGCGUAGGUAACCUGCCUGGUAGCGGAGGAUAACUAUUGGAAACGAUAGCUAAUACCGCAUAAAAUUGCUUAUCGCAUGAUACUUAAUUGAAAGAUGCAAUUGCAUCACUACCAGAUGGACCUGCGUUGUAUUAGCUAGUUGGUGAGGUAACGGCUCACCAAGGCGACGAUACAUAGCCGACCUGAGAGGGUGAUCGGCCACACUGGGACUGAGACACGGCCCAGACUCCUACGGGAGGCAGCAGUAGGGAAUCUUCGGCAAUGGGGGGAACCCUGACCGAGCAACGCCGCGUGAGUGAAGAAGGUUUUCGGAUCGUAAAGCUCUGUUGUAAGAGAAGAACGGGUGUGAGAGUGGAAAGUUUCACACUGUGACGG
RNAcentral lists this ribosomal RNA (466 nucleotides) under Streptococcus sanguinis. RNAcentral describes it as "bacterial SSU rRNA". It matches the Rfam family "Bacterial small subunit ribosomal RNA", at positions 28 to 475 of the family's 1533-position model. The record is from RNAcentral. Lineage: Bacteria; Bacillati; Bacillota; Bacilli; Lactobacillales; Streptococcaceae.